RNAcentral lists this unclassified non-coding RNA (211 nucleotides) under Hyphopichia burtonii. RNAcentral's name for it is "partial contains 5.8S ribosomal RNA, internal transcribed spacer 2, and large subunit ribosomal RNA". Lineage: Eukaryota; Fungi; Ascomycota; Pichiomycetes; Serinales; Debaryomycetaceae. The record is from RNAcentral.
CGCACAUUGCACCUUGUGGUAUUCCACAAGGUAUGCCUGUUUGAGCGUCAUUUCUCCCUCAACCCCCGCGGGUUGGCGUUGAAUGGCACGAGCUCUUAGUCAGUCCAUUCGAAAAGUAUUUUUCUUGAGUUGUUAUUUUCUAAUUUAGUAGUGACAACUACACUAAAAACACAUUUUCCUCAAAUCAGGUAGGACUACCCGCUGAACUUAA